GAUGAACGCUAGCGGCAGGCCUAAUACAUGCAAGUCGAACGGUAACAGGUCCAGCAAUGGAUGCUGACGAGUGGCGCACGGGUGCGUAACACGUAUGCAACCUACCUAUUACAGUGGGAU
RNAcentral lists this ribosomal RNA (120 nucleotides) under uncultured bacterium. RNAcentral's name for it is "partial 16S ribosomal RNA". It matches the Rfam family "Bacterial small subunit ribosomal RNA", at positions 28 to 144 of the family's 1533-position model. The record is from RNAcentral.